RNAcentral lists this ribosomal RNA (253 nucleotides) under uncultured bacterium. RNAcentral's name for it is "partial 16S ribosomal RNA". It matches the Rfam family "Bacterial small subunit ribosomal RNA", at positions 524 to 776 of the family's 1533-position model. The record is from RNAcentral.
UACAGAGGGUGCGAGCGUUGUCCGGAAUCACUGGGCGUAAAGGGCGCGUAGGCGGUCUCUUAAGCGUGUGGUGAAAGCCCGGGGCUCAACUCCGGGUCGGCCGUGCGAACUGGGGGACUGGAGCUUGUCAGAGGCAGGCGGAAUUCCGGGUGUAGCGGGGGAAUGCGUAGAGAUCCGGAAGAACACCGGUGGCGAAGGCGGCAUCCUGGACCAACACUGACACUGAGGAGCGAAAGCCAGGGGAGCAAACGGG